RNAcentral lists this ribosomal RNA (1315 nucleotides) under Unio tumidus. RNAcentral's name for it is "16S ribosomal RNA". Lineage: Eukaryota; Metazoa; Mollusca; Bivalvia; Unionida; Unionidae. The record is from RNAcentral.
AGUAUUAUUUAUUAACCAUUAAAAGAGCCCUCACUAAGACAAAACAUAAUUAGAUUAGUACUACCAAAUAAACUCUAACUUAUUAACUCCCGCAAGGAAUUUAAAACUAAAACCUUAGAAGUGAUUAAUUCACCUACCUUCUGCAUAAUGUAGUUGCAAGAAAUAAAAAUUAAACAUUGCUUCCCGAAAAGUGGAGAGCUACUAUAAGCAAUUUUAACCUUUAAUGUAACACUAUUAAAAAACAGCUUAUAAUAGCAGCGAAAUACCUAUCGAGCCACUUGAUAGCUGGUUGUCCCUUAAAUACAUAUAAGUGUACUCUUACAGUAUAGAUCAACACUAUUUCUCUGUAAGAAAAACCCUAAGAGGGACAAGCUUAUUAGGGCUACUAGAAACAAGGUAAUACCAGUACUUCAAAAAGGCUUAAAAACAGCCAAAUAUAUCCGUUAUAGGAAACGGCACCAAAAACCAAAAUAAAUUAACAAAUUCUAACCUAUUAAGGGACCUUACAGGUCAACUAAUUCUUUAACGAACCGGCAAUUAUUAGUAUCACAAAGUCACACAAUAUAAGUUUACCACUAUAAAUAAACAACCACAAAUAAUCAAUCACUCUAACCUACUAUUGGUAAUGAAUUCGGCAAAACCUUUCUUUGCCUGUUUAUCAAAAACAUCGUCUUUUGAUACCACAUUUAUAAAAGAUACUGCCUGCCCCAUGAUUUAAUUAAAUGGCCGCGUUAGCGUGAGCGUGCUAAGGUAGCGUAAUAAACAGCUCCCUAAUUAGGAGCCAGUGAAUGGCCAAACAAAGAAAAACUCUAUCACCAAUAAAAAGAAAACUUUUCUUCUAAGUGAAAAGACUUAGAUUAAGGAAAAAGACAAAAAGACCCCGCGGAACUUCCUUAUAGCUUUACUACUUAAAUCAUACUUAAGCUUAUAGCUAACUGGUUGGUUGGGGCAACCUCGGAGCAAAUAAAACCUCCAUUCAUUUUUAAAACCUAUACAAAACUUUAUAUGGACCAUACUCGCAGUUACCCCGGGGAUAACAGCGUAAUCCAACUUAAGAGUACGAAUCGAAAGUUGGGUUUGCGACCUCGAUGUUGGCUUAGGGAAAGCAACUUGGCGCAACCGCUAAGUUACAAUGCCAGUCUGUUCGACUGCUAACCCCCUACACGAGCUGAGUUAAGACCGGCGAGAGCUAGGUUGGAUUCUAUCUUUUACUUCAUAAAAUAAUUCUUUAUUGUACGAAAGGACCCAAAGAAGCACACAAAAGUGUUCAUCAUAAGCAGAAACUAAUCAUUAUAAUAAUCAACUACAAUAAACC